RNAcentral lists this unclassified non-coding RNA (221 nucleotides) under plant metagenome. RNAcentral's name for it is "partial contains small subunit ribosomal RNA and internal transcribed spacer 1". The record is from RNAcentral.
AAGUCGUAACAGGGUUUCCGUAUGGUGAACCUGCGGAAGGAUCAUUAAUGAUUGCGAAUGGUUCACCUUUGGUGCUUGGACUCUUUGCAAGUGCACGUUGGUGGCUUUCAUCCCAAUACCCUUGUGAACCUUUGGCCUCUUGCUAGCUUCGGCUGGCAGAGGAUUUUUACAACACUCGAAUGUAAUGAAAACUAUUGUCGUGCGCAAGCACUAAUGUACAA